UGGUNGCUGACGACUGCUACCAUGCAGUCGAACGGUGACACGGAGCUUGCUCUGUGGGAUCAGUGGCGAACGGGUGAGUAACACGUGAGCAACCUGCCCCUGACUCUGGGAUAAGCGCUGGAAACGGCGUCUAAUACUGGAUACGAGUAGCGGCCGCAUGGUCAGUUACUGGAAAGAUUUUUUGGUUGGGGAUGGGCUCGCGGCCUAUCAGCUUGUUGGUGAGGUAAUGGCUCACCAAGGCGUCGACGGGUAGCCGGCCUGAGAGGGUGACCGGCCACACUGGGACUGAGACACGGCCCAGACUCCUACGGGAGGCAGCAGUGGGGAAUAUUGCACAAUGGGCGAAAGCCUGAUGCAGCAACGCCGCGUGAGGGAUGACGGCCUUCGGGUUGUAAACCUCUUUUAGCAGGGAAGAAGCGAAAGUGACGGUACCUGCAGAAAAAGCGCCGGCUAACUACGUGCCAGCAGCCGCGGUAAUACGUAGGGCGCAAGCGUUAUCCGGAAUUAUUGGGCGUAAAGAGCUCGUAGGCGGUUUGUCGCGUCUGCUGUGAAAUCCCGAGGCUCAACCUCGGGCCUGCAGUGGGUACGGGCAGACUAGAGUGCGGUAGGGGAGAUUGGAAUUCCUGGUGUAGCGGUGGAAUGCGCAGAUAUCAGGAGGAACACCGAUGGCGAAGGCAGAUCUCUGGGCCGUAACUGACGCUGAGGAGCGAAAGGGUGGGGAGCAAACAGGCUUAGAUACCCUGGUAGUCCACCCCGUAAACGUUGGGAACUAGUUGUGGGGUCCAUUCCACGGAUUCCGUGACGCAGCUAACGCAUUAAGUUCCCCGCCUGGGGGAGUACGGCCGCAAGGCUAAAACUCAAAGGAAUUGACGGGGACCCGCACAAGCGGCGGAGCAUGCGGAUUAAUUCGAUGCAACGCGAAGAACCUUACCAAGGCUUGACAUAUACGAGAACGGGCCAGAAAUGGUCAACUCUUUGGGACACUCGUAAACAGGUGUUGCAUGGGUUGUCGUCAGCUCGUGUCGUGAGAUGUUGGGUAAGUUCCCGCAACGACGCAACCCUCCGUUCUAUGUUGCCAACACGUAAUGGUGGGGACCUCAUGGGAUACCUGCCGGGUCCAACUCG
RNAcentral lists this ribosomal RNA (1125 nucleotides) under Actinomycetota bacterium. RNAcentral describes it as "bacterial SSU rRNA". It matches the Rfam family "Bacterial small subunit ribosomal RNA", at positions 30 to 1165 of the family's 1533-position model. The record is from RNAcentral. Lineage: Bacteria; Bacillati; Actinomycetota.